RNAcentral lists this long non-coding RNA (391 nucleotides) under Mytilus galloprovincialis (Mediterranean mussel). Lineage: Eukaryota; Metazoa; Mollusca; Bivalvia; Mytilida; Mytilidae. The record is from RNAcentral.
AAAGUACCAGGAUUAUAAUUUAGUACGCCAGACGCGCGUUUCGUCUACAUAAGACUCAUCAGUGACGCUCAUAUCAAAAUAGUUAUAAAGCCAAACAAUACAAAGUUGAAGAGCAUAGAGGAUCCAAAAUUCCAAAAAGUUGUGCCAAAUACGGCGAAGGUAAUCUAUUCCUGGGACAAGAAAAUCCUUAGUUUUUCGAAAAAUUCAAAGUUUUGUAUCAGGAAAUUUAUAAAAAUGAUCACAUUAUUGAUAUUCAUGUCAACACCGAAGUGCUGACUACUGGGCUGGUGAUACCCUCGGGCACGAAACGUCCACCAGCAGUGGCAUUGACCCAGUGGUGUAAAUAGUUAUCAAAAGUACCAGGAUUAUAAUUUAGUACGUCAGACGCGCG